This 254-nucleotide ribosomal RNA is filed under the name uncultured bacterium. RNAcentral describes it as "partial 16S ribosomal RNA". It matches the Rfam family "Bacterial small subunit ribosomal RNA", at positions 524 to 776 of the family's 1533-position model. The record is from RNAcentral.
UACGUAGGGUGCGAGCGUUGUCCGGAAUUAUUGGGCGUAAAGAGCUCGUAGGCGGUGUGUCACGUCGGCCGUGAAAACCUGCAGCUUAACUGUGGGCGUGCGGUCGAUACGGGCAUCACUGGAGUUCGGCAGGGGAGACUAGAAUUCCUGGUGUAGCGGUGAAAUGCGCAGAUAUCAGGAGGAACACCGGUGGCGAAGGCGGGUCUCUGGGCCGAUACUGACGCUGAGGAGCGAAAGCGUGGGGAGCAAACAGG